Molecule: long non-coding RNA, 345 nt
Filed under: Pan troglodytes (chimpanzee)
Lineage: Eukaryota; Metazoa; Chordata; Mammalia; Primates; Hominidae
Description: long non-coding RNA NONPTRT007152
Source: RNAcentral
GUGCCUUCCUGGACCUGCCAACAGGAACCUAUGGUAUUUGUGUCAACAUGUGCCCAGGAAACAAAUCCUGUCUAGGGGAAAGAGAUGCCAAAGCAAUGGCUGUGGUCAUGUGUGCAAAGUUGUUCCUGAAACAGCAGUGAUGACCGUGCAGGCGGAAGCACAGACCUUUACAAGAGUAGCCAGGUCACUUCUUCAGAAGAUUCUUCACCCAUCCCCAAGCCCUGGUUGUUCUUCAUCCUUGGAGUUACAAGCCUGGAAGAAAUAGCCUUAUUUUAAUUAUUCAAUUUUGGAAAUUUCCACAGGCUAACUUUUAACCAGAAGAUCUUGAUCCUAAAAACUCUUAUC